CGGCAAAUUCAGUGAAAGCUGAAGACGCAAAACUAAAGGGCCUAAGUCAAUAAUGAUAUGGCAGCCAGUUACCGA
Molecule: non-coding RNA, 75 nt
Filed under: Vallitalea guaymasensis
Lineage: Bacteria; Bacillati; Bacillota; Clostridia; Lachnospirales; Vallitaleaceae
Description: Cyclic di-GMP-I riboswitch
Rfam family: c-di-GMP-I riboswitch aptamer
About the family: GEMM was predicted in a large-scale screen for bacterial structured RNA regulatory elements. Genes associated with GEMM are involved in a diverse array of functions, including chemotaxis regulation, signal transduction, secretion and chitin.
Source: RNAcentral